Long non-coding RNA from Uranotaenia lowii, 454 nucleotides. RefSeq lists it as uncharacterized. Lineage: Eukaryota; Metazoa; Arthropoda; Insecta; Diptera; Culicidae. The transcript has 3 exons. The record is from RefSeq and is a predicted model, not a curated record.
AUAAAUAUCUGGGCUCCUCGGAACUCUUACUUAAGGUUAACCCGGAACGGGACUGCGGCGGGGAGCGACGGCGGUGGAUUCUGGAAAAGGGAGCCAAAUUGGAAUCGAGAAAUUGAUCUCUGCACUGCAUUCCCAUACGUACAAAAAUGUACAUUAUUCCUUUUGGCAUCGGAAUCGACGAAUUGUGUUACAGUUGGUGUUAUUCAACUUCGGACCCGUCAACGGGAGAGAAACACCUGCUAUGGCUAAAAUGAACCGGUGCUGAACAGAGUUAACGAACCUGAAACGGUCGCUGGUUCUCGAUAAGACCGAAAUUCUGCAUCAGAUGUUGGCCGCUUGUGAUCCGAACGGCACCCCGUCAAAGAAGAUUGAGAGUUUCUGACGGAAGAAAAAAACUUACAAGCAUCUACUGAAGCGAAGCUAUGGAUGCGUUUAAAUCGUUUGUUUCAUUACC